This 344-nucleotide long non-coding RNA is filed under the name Gossypium barbadense (sea-island cotton). RNAcentral's name for it is "long non-coding RNA (GBAR_LNC020431)". The record is from RNAcentral. Lineage: Eukaryota; Viridiplantae; Streptophyta; Magnoliopsida; Malvales; Malvaceae.
UUACACUUCAAUGACUAAAUUUGUUGAAUGAAGCAAAAAGGCAAAUAAAUUAAUUUGUUUGACAUUUACUUUUAAGGUCUUUUGUACAAACUGCCUGGACUAGGAGAUCUCAUGGUGAAACUGCAAAGCAACCCAAUAAGAAAACCAUAGAAACAAGAAAAUUUAUUUUUUUCAAGCCUAAAAAAUGUAUUGGACUUUCAAUUCAAAUUUCUUUUUCUGAUUUGUUUUCUUAGAUAGAAGAACUCAAAUCAAACCUAGUUCUUCUUUACUAAAAAAAUGUUGAUAAGAAGAUUAAAAACCCUGCUUAAACCCUUGUUUGAUCCUCACCUCCGUCUCAUAGCCGC